RNAcentral lists this ribosomal RNA (254 nucleotides) under uncultured bacterium. Its description in RNAcentral is "partial 16S ribosomal RNA". It matches the Rfam family "Bacterial small subunit ribosomal RNA", at positions 524 to 776 of the family's 1533-position model. The record is from RNAcentral.
UACAGAGGUCCCAAGCGUUGUUCGGAUUCACUGGGCGUAAAGGGUGCGUAGGCGGUUCGAUAAGUCGGACGUGAAAUCUCCACGCUCAACGUGGAGGGGCCGUUCGAUACUGUCGUGACUCGAGUCCGGUAGGGGAGUGUGGAAUUCCCGGUGUAGCGGUGAAAUGCGCAGAGAUCGGGAGGAACACCCGUAGCGAAGGCGGCACUCUGGGCCGGUACUGACGCUGAGGAGCGAAAGCGUGGGGAGCAAACAGG